UUCUAUGGAGAGUUUGAUCCUGGCUCAGGACGAACGCUGGCGGCGUGCCUAAUACAUGCAAGUCGAGCGGAUCUGAUGGAGUGCUUGCACUCCUGACGAUUAGCG
This 105-nucleotide ribosomal RNA is filed under the name Paenibacillus sp. NEAU-GSW1. Its description in RNAcentral is "partial 16S ribosomal RNA". It matches the Rfam family "Bacterial small subunit ribosomal RNA", at positions 1 to 97 of the family's 1533-position model. Lineage: Bacteria; Bacillati; Bacillota; Bacilli; Caryophanales; Paenibacillaceae. The record is from RNAcentral.